Molecule: long non-coding RNA, 1658 nt
Organism: Orbicella faveolata
Lineage: Eukaryota; Metazoa; Cnidaria; Anthozoa; Scleractinia; Merulinidae
Source: RefSeq, a predicted model, not a curated record
UUCCUCGAAGACGGAAAGGGUGGUUACCAAGGAAUGACAUAACAAAUUCAAGUAUAAACAGUUGGUCAGUUGGGAAUAGAGUGCAGAAAAGUGAAGUUCGGUUCGUUUUAACAGUUUUAAGGAUGGUAUGACUAAUAAUUAACGCUGGGCGCUAUGUUGCCAGGAAAAUAGCCUCAGCGUUUUCAAGACCUAACAGGCAAGCUCGGUCUGCAGAAGCUAUGGAUGAAUCAUCCCCCAACACCGCAGCCUCUCAGAACCAUCCACCACCAGCCACAGAUACGAGCACCCUUUCAUCUGCUUACGAAUGGAAGGAGACCGAGUAUUCUAACGGCACUAUCAGUCGUGAAAAUGGAGAAGGGAAAGCGAGACAGAGAGCGUUUUAACUGAGAGACUUAUUGAGAGAAUGGAUUUACAGUGCUUACACGUAUUUAUCGAUAGUACAGUGUUUGUACAGCUCUAUCAUACUCAUCCAGGAUAUCAUACUCAUGUUUCCAGUAGAUGUAGUUUAUAUCUUUUAAGUUUGAUCUUCAUUAUUUUCGUAGCAAAUUUUAAGCACUCUUAGCUCUGAAAUAAGUAUGAUGUAAUAGGUCUAUUUAACCCCUGGCAGGGAGGGUGAAGGGGGUGGGGAAAGAAGAGGUUUAGUGAAGGUGGCUGGAGUUUAUUUCAGUCAUAAAUAAGCUAGUCCAUAUGAAGCCCUGGGCUGAGUAAUAGGGAAUGAUCAAUGGUGCUGCUUGAAGUUUGUGAGAUUGGACUUUGAGUGGUGGGGUCUUAAAAGAGAAGAGGAGGGAUGGGAGGGGGGGCUACAUAGAGCUUUUGCGGUGAGUUCAAUACAUGCGUGUCUGGUAGAAUACCUUAUCACUAGCUACAUAAAGUACAUGACGUUCAUUGAUGAGACCCUUCAGCAUGCUAGCUUCUAGUUUCCAUUGUUUUGAAACCUUCUGUCUAUUCAGUUAUGUUGUCAUGAGAUAGCCUGUUUUGGAUCACUGUUCAUUUAUUCCAACUGGUGACAAUGAUGGAAUUGCUGCAAACUUUCUUUUGGUACGAAUGUAGCUUUACUUGAUGAAUUUCUCUAGUUGUUAUGGUGAGCGGUGUUCAUUACAAGAAAGAGUGGAACUGUCUGUAGUUCAACCAUGGUGUGUGCUGAAGCCACGAAUGAAAAAUUCGAUUUGUAAAACUAGUACAUGUGUAUGUUUAUAUAUCCCAUUACAAGAAUACAGUAGAUAUAAACCACAGAGAGUGCCUUUGUUGGUCUAUUUUUAUUAGCAAAUAUGCAUGUACAUGUGGCAUGUUAGAACAAUAAACAUCGAUGACGUAUUUAUUAACUCAUUUUCAUGAGGUACAAAAAUGUCAAUUUGACCACAAUGUAUUCUGUAUUUAAUUUGUUGCCAACCAUUUACAGUAACUGGUACAGUUUACCAUCUCACUGGUAAUACACCGUACCUCUGUCUACUCAGGUGAAUUAAAAUGUUAUGUGAGUUAUGGUAACAGGGAAUUAAAUGUUGGGGGUGUGGUAGACUUCCUGGGGAGUAGGAUUACUGCCAGUCAACAUGGAAAACAGAAGAGAUGGGUCAUUAGGCUUGAACACAGACUUAUACUUAGGCUGCAGUGCAGGCAUUAUUUUAGAACGGAACGUUUAUUAAACCAUGUUUUUGAUGUCA